AGUGGUCAGGAUGAUUAUUGGGCUUAAAGCAUCCGUAGCCGGCUUGUUUAGUUUUCGGUAAAAUCCAUGUGCUCAACGCAUGGGCCGCCGAAAAUACUGCAUGGCUAGGAAGUGGGAGAGGUAGACGGUACUCAGUAGGAAGGGGUAAAAUCCUUUGAUCUAUUGAUGACCACCUGUGGCGAAGGCGGUCUACCAGAACACGUUCGACGGUGAGGGAUGAAAGCUGGGGGAGCAAACCGGAUUAGAUACCCGGGUAGUCCCAGCUGUAAACGAUGCAGACUCGAUGAUGCAUUGGCAUAAUAGCCAAUGCAGUGUCGCAGGGAAGCCGUUAAGUCUGCCGCCUGGGAAGUACGUACGCAAGUAUGAAACUUAAAGGAAUUGGCGGGGGAGCACCACAAGGGGUGAAGCCUGCGGUUCAAUUGGAGUCAACGCCAGAAAUCUUACCCGGAGAGACAGCAGAAUGAAGGUCAAGCUGAAGACUUUACCAGACAAGCUGAGAGGUGGUGCAUGGCCGUCGCCAGCUCGUGCCGUGAGAUGUCCUGUUAAGUCAGGUAACGAGCGAGAUCCCUGCCACUAGUUGCUAUCAUUAUUCUCAGGAAUAGUGGGGCGAAUUAGUGGGACUGCCGUUGUUAAAACGGAGGAAGGAAGGGGCUACGGCAGGUCAGUAUGCCCCGAAACUCUGGGGCCACACGCGGGCUGCAAUGGUAGUGACAAUGAGUUCCAAACUCGAAAGAGAGUGGCAAUCUCUAAACGCUACCACAGUUAUGACUGAGGGCUGUAACUCGCCCUCACGAAUAUGGAAUCCCUAGUAACCGCGUGUCAUUACCGCGCGGUGAAUACGUCCCUGCUCCUUGCACACACCGCCCGUCGUUUCAUCGAAGUUUGCUUUUAGCGAGGUGAUGUUUAAUGGCCAUAUCGAACUGA
Molecule: ribosomal RNA, 924 nt
Filed under: uncultured marine group I thaumarchaeote
Lineage: Archaea; Thermoproteati; Nitrososphaerota
Description: bacterial SSU rRNA
Rfam family: Archaeal small subunit ribosomal RNA
Source: RNAcentral